Molecule: microRNA, 22 nt
Filed under: Apis mellifera (honey bee)
Lineage: Eukaryota; Metazoa; Arthropoda; Insecta; Hymenoptera; Apidae
Description: ame-miR-3797-5p
Source: miRBase by way of RNAcentral
CAGAACUGGCUCGUAUUUUAUU